GUUGAUAUAUUGCUGAUAAUCAGUUUAGAUUGUUCUGGUUUUUGUCUCUUUUGUCAGGUUUUAUAAAUGGAUGCAUUCAUUUGUAUUACUGCAUAAAA
This is a long non-coding RNA of Dicentrarchus labrax (European seabass), 98 nucleotides long. RefSeq lists it as uncharacterized. Lineage: Eukaryota; Metazoa; Chordata; Actinopteri; Moronidae. The record is from RefSeq and is a predicted model, not a curated record. The transcript has 2 exons.